Ailuropoda melanoleuca (giant panda) is the source of this 1214-nucleotide long non-coding RNA. RefSeq lists it as uncharacterized. The record is from RefSeq and is a predicted model, not a curated record. Lineage: Eukaryota; Metazoa; Chordata; Mammalia; Carnivora; Ursidae. The transcript has 3 exons.
GGACCUCAGGCUGCAGUCACCCUGGUAGGUGAUGCUGUGUGAGCCUUGUCGGCAGCGAACCUGGCGGCCUGUGUACAAUGACAGUCUGAGCCUACCUCAUGCUGUUCUGCUCCAGUUUCCACGGUAGGAACAGACACCAAAACGUUCUGCCAAGUCCUCCCAGUCACUUAGCCUCACCUGAAGAAUGAGGGAUGUGGUGGCCUGAUGUCUAACUUCUGUGAUCCGGCCAGGUGCAGGCUAACUCAGCGGCACGGACCACGUGCCUGGAGUACAGCGGACGUGCCAUGUGGGACCACGCGCACGUGCACGCACACGCAGCAGGUCUGCAUAACAAAAUACCAGUCUAGAGCAGAGAUGCUCUGAAUUCUGGUGAGAGACCUGCCAUUAACUGUGGCUUCAGCUCUGCAAGGCACAGCCUCUCUGUGGCUGGCGUGAGAAAUUCACACCGGGGUCCUCCCCAUGUCACCUGGCUUUAGAGGAUGACCCUUUAGUCGCAAAGACAUGUUUUUCAGACUUCACUGGACUGUUCUCCUGCCACGCUAGGAAACCCUUCUCCUCCCAACAAAGUCGUAUGGAGGUGGGUGUCAAUCACUGAGACAUCUGUAAUCAUAUACUGAACACUGGACGUGCACAGGGAACAAAGGUUAAGGAAAUUAUGGCCACAAAAUGGAAUGUUGUAUAGCCAUUAAAACUUCCAAGAGGUUAAAACAAUGUCAUUUCAACUACCAUUCACUAAUUAAUCCAGUUAACCAAUAUUUGUGGAGAGUCUGUCAUUUGUCGUAUGCUGUGGUCAGUCCUGGGGCACGAGGACCAACAACACGGACGUGGCCCAUCCCCUGUGGAGCGCACCGGACCUUACUAUAUGCUGCGUCAUGGGCUAAAAGCAUCACGUACUUGAUUUUGCCGAAUUUUCUCAACAACUGAUGAGGUCACUUUACCAAUCAGCAGCUCCAAGAGCCACAGUCAGGCCCUUCCUCAACCAGUCUCUUCCAGAGUCCCCUUGGUUGGAAGAGCACAAGGCCGGCCUCUCACCUUGAACCCUGGAGCCAUUCUCAGUUCCUGUCCUGCCUCCUGGGGUACGCUGCACCCACUGCCCACACCUUCCCUCCCCAAGCCAUGUUCCAGGCGUUCUCCCCUCGUGGUGUAGACCGUCCACGCUUGCCACAGAGCCUGGUCCACAGCAGGUUCUCAACAACUGUUGGAUGAAUGAAUAA